RNAcentral lists this ribosomal RNA (492 nucleotides) under uncultured bacterium. Its description in RNAcentral is "partial 16S ribosomal RNA". It matches the Rfam family "Bacterial small subunit ribosomal RNA", at positions 29 to 507 of the family's 1533-position model. The record is from RNAcentral.
AGUGAACGCUGGCGGUAGGCCUAACACAUGCAAGUCGAACGGCAGCACAGUAAGAGCUUGCUCUUACGGGUGGCGAGUGGCGGACGGGUGAGGAAUACAUCGGAAUCUACUUUUUCGUGGGGGAUAACGUAGGGAAACUUACGCUAAUACCGCAUACGACCUACGGGUGAAAGCAAGGGAGCUUCGGACCUUUCGCGAUUGAAUGAGCCGAUGUCGGAUUAGCUAGUUGGCGGGGUAAAGGCCCACCAAGGCGACGAUCCGUAGCUGGUCUGAGAGGAUGAUCAGCCACACUGGAACUGAGACACGGUCCAGACUCCUACGGGAGGCAGCAGUGGGGAAUAUUGGACAAUGGGCGAAAGCCUGAUCCAGCCAUACCGCGUGGGUGAAGAAGGCCUUCGGGUUGUAAAGCCCUUUUGUUGGGAAAGAAAAGCAGCAGGUUAAUACCUCGCUGUUCUGACGGUACCCAAAGAAUAAGCACCGGCUAACUUCGUG